CUACGGGGCGCAGCAGUGGGGAAUCUUGGACAAUGGGCGAAAGCCUGAUCCAGCAAUGCCGCGUGCGUGAAGAAGGCCUUCGGGUUGUAAAGCGCUUUUGUCUGGGAGCAAAUCCUGGCCUCUAAUACAGGUCGGGGAUGAGAGUACCAGAAGAAUAAGGACCGGCUAACUACGUGCCAGCAGCCGCGGUAAUACGUAGGGUCCAAGCGUUAAUCGGAAUUACUGGGCGUAAAGCGUCCGCAGGUGGCUUGAUAAGAUAGAGGUGAAAUCCCUGGGCUCAACCUAGGAAUUGCCUUUAUGACUGUCUCGCUAGAGUAUGGGAGAGGGGGGUGGAAUUCCACGUGUAGCAGUGAAAUGCGUAGAGAUGUGGAGGAACACCGAUGGCGAAGGCAACCCCCUGGCCUAAUACUGACACUCAUGGACGUAAGCGUGGGGAGCAAACAGGAUUAGAUACCCGAGUAGUC
RNAcentral lists this ribosomal RNA (464 nucleotides) under uncultured bacterium. Its description in RNAcentral is "partial 16S ribosomal RNA". It matches the Rfam family "Bacterial small subunit ribosomal RNA", at positions 339 to 795 of the family's 1533-position model. The record is from RNAcentral.